This 501-nucleotide ribosomal RNA is filed under the name uncultured bacterium. RNAcentral describes it as "partial 16S ribosomal RNA". It matches the Rfam family "Bacterial small subunit ribosomal RNA", at positions 30 to 523 of the family's 1533-position model. The record is from RNAcentral.
AUUGAACGCUGGCGGCAGGCUUAACACAUGCAAGUCGAGCGGAGCGAGGGUGCUUGCACCUUAGCUUAGCGGCGGACGGGUGAGUAAUGCUUAGGAAUCUGCCUAUUAGUGGGGGACAACAUUCCGAAAGGAAUGCUAAUACCGCAUACGCCCUACGGGGGAAAGCAGGGGAUCUUCGGACCUUGCGCUAAUAGAUGAGCCUAAGUCAGAUUAGCUAGUUAGUGGGGCAAAGGCCUACCAAGGCGACGAUCUGUAGCGGGUCUGAGAGGAUGAUCCGCCACACUGGGACUGAGACACGGCCCAGACUCCUACGGGAGGCAGCAGUGGGGAAUAUUGGACAAUGGGCGGAAGCCUGAUCCAGCCAUGCCGCGUGUGUGAAGAAGGCCUUUUGGUUGUAAAGCACUUUAAGCGAGGAGGAGGCUACUUAGAUUAAUACUCUGGGAUAGUGGACGUUACUCGCAGAAUAAGCACCGGCUAACUCUGUGCCAGCAGCCGCGGUAA